Molecule: long non-coding RNA, 1226 nt
Organism: Trifolium pratense (red clover)
Lineage: Eukaryota; Viridiplantae; Streptophyta; Magnoliopsida; Fabales; Fabaceae
Exons: 9
Source: RefSeq, a predicted model, not a curated record
AUUUUAUCAGAUAACGCAAUAAGCUAGCAAAAAAAAAGGCUAUAUGUUGGUGGGAAAUUUUUUAUAGAAAUAACUUGCAACAUAAGCACUUAUUUGAAUAACACUUAUGAAGUUAUGCUGUGUGGAUCUUGUAGUUCAUGCCGCUGGUCCUUUUCAACAGACAGAAAAAUGUAGCGUUCUUGAAGCUGCCAUUAAUACCAAGAUGGGGUCAAGUUUUUAUACUGGAUGCUCUCUCUAGAAUAGAUACAAGGCUGCUGAUGCACGUGAGGCAGAAAACAUCGUAGAAACUGGAAAGAGUUACCCCACGGUUACAACAUGCCAAUUGUGCAGUUGUACUAUCUGCUGUUAAGAUGAUCCUUCAGCAAAUGGAGCUCAUCACCAGUACUGAUGUGGUCUGGAAUCUUUGCAAAAAGAUGGCUCCUCCUCUUGUGACAUUACUCUCUCGGAAGAACCUGAGAUACAAUAUGUUGUAAUGUUUCCCUGCGAAAUAUCAAUCUUAUUGUACAAAGAAGACCGACAAUUUUCGCACAUGAAAUUAAGUAGGUGUUCUUCUGCAAAUACAAUGACCCUAUAUAUGUAUGUGAAAAUGGAGAAAUUAGUAAUCAUGAUAAAGCUUGCUUCAGACCGAAAUAUAGACCAGAUAUGAGUCCAUAAUUGCAACUCUUUAUGAGAGCUUAGACACCUUGGAUGAGCCCGAAGCCAAGGCAUCAAUGAUCUGGAUAAUUGGUGAAUAUGCUGAAAGAAUUGACAAUGCUGACGAGCUUCUUGAAAGUUUCUUGGAAAGUUUCCCCGAAGAACCUGCACUAGUCCAACUGCAAUUGCUGACAGCUACCGUCAAACUCUUCCUUAAGAAGCCAACUGAGGGCCCACAGCAGAUGAUUCAGGUUCCACAAUUGCAACCUGGAACAUCAACUAGGGCACUCCUUCCUAUAUGAUUAUGUUCCAGAACAUGUCUCAAGGUCCUCCUAGCUCAUUUUUGCAAGUUGCCUUAAAACACAACCAGCAGCCUGUGUGGUAUUUCAACGAUAAAAUCUUAUUACAUGUAUUUUUUACCGGGGAUGGUAGAAUGGAACGUGCCACUUUCCUCGAGGUCCCUUCCGGAUUCAAAUGAAGUUUCCAAGGACUUCCCCUUCCCCGCUAUCCUGAUUGGUGGUGUGGAUGCAACAGUGGAACGACUGGAUUCAUCAAACAUAUUCUUUAUUGCAAAGCGCAAGAAUGCGAACCAG